RNAcentral lists this ribosomal RNA (241 nucleotides) under uncultured bacterium. Its description in RNAcentral is "partial 16S ribosomal RNA". It matches the Rfam family "Bacterial small subunit ribosomal RNA", at positions 335 to 572 of the family's 1533-position model. The record is from RNAcentral.
CUUCCUACGGGAGGCAGCAGUGAGGAAUAUUGGUCAAUGGGCGGAAGCCUGAACCAGCCAAGUCGCGUGAGGGACUAAGGCCCUGCGGGUCGUAAACCUCUUUUGCCGGGGAGCAGUGGUCCGGACGCGUCCGGACCGGGAGAGUACCCGGAGAAAAAGCAUCGGCUAACUACGUGCCAGCAGCCGCGGUAAUACGUAGGGAGCGAGCGUUGUCCGGAAUUACUGGGUGUAAAGGGAGCGU